RNAcentral lists this long non-coding RNA (8453 nucleotides) under Marmota monax (woodchuck). The stretch from base 4526 to 4592 matches the Rfam family "tRNA". Lineage: Eukaryota; Metazoa; Chordata; Mammalia; Rodentia; Sciuridae. The record is from RNAcentral.
CCUUAGAGACAAAGGAGGAAGUUCAUGUCCACUCUCUGGGUGAACCUGUGAACCUGAGCAAGAGCCAUAAGAUGCCAUCCUUGAGAAAACCAUGCCAUACUCUGCUUUUCUCUGGGCUACAAGGGAAUGUCCAGGUGAGCUAGAAUUCAAAUCUCUGCUCCUUUAAUAAUUGCAAUUCCUUCUGAAGAUUUCUCUAAUGCAGUAUUUGCAAACAUUGGUGUGUACAAGAGUCACCCAUAAGACUUGUUACAACUACAGUUUCCUGGGCCAGGCUUGGUACUGUGUGCCUGCAGUCCCAGUACUCAGGAGGCUACAGUAGGAGGAUCACUUGAGCCCACGAGUUCAAGACCAGCCUAGGCAAGGUAGCAAGACCCUGUCUCAAAAUAAAAAAGGAGAGGGGCAGCUGAAGGUGUCACUCAGUAGUAGAGUACUUGCCUAGCAUGCAGUAGGCCCUGGAUUCGAUUCCCAGCACAACAAAAACAAACAAAUAUUUUAUUUACUUAUUUAUAAACUCUUAUUUGUUUGUUUUUUUGGUACUAGGGAUUGAACCAAGGAGUACAUUACCACUAAACUAUACCCCCAGCCCUUUUUAUUUUUUAUUUUGACACAGGGUCUUGCUAAGUUGAUUAGAGCCUCACUAAAUUACUGAGGCUGGCCUUGAACUUGCAAUCCUCCUGCCUCAGCCUCCUGAGUUCCAGGGAUUACAGGCAUGUGCCACCAUGCCCAACUAAAUAAAUAAAUAAAUAUCUAUCUAUUUAUUUAUUUAUUUUGGUGCUGGGGAUUGAAUUCAGGGACACUCAACCACAUCCCCAUCCCAAUUUUGUAUUUUAUUUAGAGACAGGAUCUCACUGAGUUGCUUAGCACCUUGCUAAAUUGCUGAGGUUGGCUUUGAACCCGAUAUCCUCCUCUCUCAGCCUUCUGAGCCACUGGUACUACAGGUGUGCAGCACCGCACCCAGCUAAAUAAAUAUUUUAAAGGACUGGGGCUGUGGCUCAGCAGUAGAGCAUUCGCCUAGCGCAUACAAAGCAUUGGGUUCCAUCCUCAGUAUCACAUAAAAAUAAAAUAAAGGUAUUGUGUCCAAGUACAACUAAAAAUAAAUAAAUAAAUAUGUAUUUUAAAUAAAUAAAAAUUACAGAUUCCUCAGAUCAUACAGAUAGCUGCUUGUACCUGUUAGGCAUCCUUCACUCUUUAUUGAUAGUCUUUGAAAAAGCUAAGUGGGGGCAGAAUACAGAAGCAUUUAUUCAUUAACUCCCAUCCCCACUGGUCAAUGAUGACCCCUUAAGAAUUGAUCUACCCACUUCUAGAACAUAUGUGUGUUCAUGCUGUAAAAGUUGUACAAGAGGGGCUGGGGCUAUAGCUCAGUUGGUAGAGUGCUUGCCUCGCAUGCACAAGGCCCUGGGUUCCAUCCCCAGCACCAAAAAAAAAAAAAAAAAAGUUGUACAAGAGUCCCACGUUGAGGGGUUGAGGGUCAAAGAAGCCCUAGGACAGGAAGCAAGAGGUACAAGAUGUGGGCCAGGUACAUUCAGGUUGCACCUGUGCAGAGUUAGCAAGGUGGCAUAGAACUGGUUAUGACAACAGUGGCUUGGAAAAGAGGUACGGUUUGCAACUGCUAGGAAAAAAUAUAGGGUCAACAAUCUAUUGGUCCUGGCACCAACUUCCUUAACAGGGGCCUAAAGCUCAAGAAAUGAAGCCAAAAAUCAUUAAGUGGGAUACUAUCCAAUUAAAAAGCUCUGUACAGCAAAGGAGGCAAUUAGGAGUGAAGGGCUGGUGAUGUAGCUCAGUUGGCAGAGGGCUUGCCUCGAAUGCACAAGGCCCUGGUGGGAUCCCCAGCACCAUACACAUACACACAAAAAAAAAAAAAAAAAAGAGAGAGAGAGAGAGAAAAAGAGAGAAGAGGGAGCUAAAAGAAUGGGAGAAAAUUUCUGCCAGCCAUUCCAUUGACAGGGAUAAAAUCCAGAAUAUAUAAAGAACUAAAAAAAACUCAAUGACAAAAACCAAACCAAACCAAAACAAAACAAAUAGCCCAAUUAAUAAAUGGGCAAAAAAACUAAACAGAAAUUUCUCAAAAGAAGAAACAAAUAUCCAAAAGUGUAUGAAAAAAUUUUAGCAUUUCUAGCAAUUUAUUUAUUUAUUUAUUUUAAUAUUUAUUAUUUAUUUAUUUAUUUAGUUUUCGGUGGACACAACAUCUUUGUUUGUAUGUGGUGCUGAGGAUUGAACCCGGGCCGCACGCAUGCCAGGCGAGCGCGCUACCACUUGAGCCACAUCCCCAGCCCCAUUUCUAGCAAUUUAUGUAAGUGAAAGUCAAAGCUACACUAAGAUUUCAUCUUAAUCCAGAUAGAAAGGCAAUGAUUAAGAAUAUGAAUAAUAGCCAGGCUCAGUGGCACACGACUGUAAUCCCAGUGACUCAGGAGACUGAGGCAGGAGGAUAACAAGUUCGAGACCAGCCUCAGCAACUUAGUGAGGACCUAAACAACUUAGUAAGAAUCUGUCUCAAAAUAAAAAAUAAAAAUGGCUGGUGGGGAUGUGGCUCAGUGACUAAGCACCCUUGGGUUAGAUCCCUGGUAGCAAAUAAAAUAGAAAUUUAAAUCAUACUACAGCCACUUCAAUGUUCAUAGCAGCAAAAUUCACAAUAUCCAAAUUAUGGAAUGAACCCAGAUGUCUGUCAAUAGAUAAAAGGAUUAAGAAAAUGUAGUAUAGGGCUGUGGUUGAAGUUCAGGGGUAGAUCGCUCGCCUAGCACAUGCGAGGCCCUGGGUUCGAUUCUCAACACCCUAUAAAAAUAAGUCAAUAAAAUAAAGGUAUUGUGUCCAUUUACAACUAAAAAAAUGAAAUAUUUUUAAAAGAAAAUAUAGUAUAUAUACACAUUGGAGCUUUACUCAGUUAUGAAGAAGAAUGAAAUAAUGUCAUUUGCUGGUAAAUGAAUGGAAAUGGAGAAAAUCAUGCUAAAUGAAAUAAGCCAGACUCAGAAAAUCAAGGGUUGAAACAUUUUCUCUGUGUGUGGGAGCUAGAGCAAAAUAAGGGAAAGAAGGUGGGAGGGGAAGGAAUCAGGUGCAUGAACAUCCAGGGUAGUGCCACCGCGCCCAGCACUAGUGGGGAUUUAAACCACCCAGUUUGUCUCCAGAGCUUUUUUUUUAUAUAUAUAUAAUUUUUUUGUAGUUUUCGGUGGACACAACAUCUUUAUUUUAUUUUUAUGUGGUGCUGAGGAUCGAACCCAGCGCGCCGAACAUGCCAGGCGAGCGCGUUACCACUUGAGCCACAUCCCCAGCCAGAGCUUGGGUUUUUAAUCAUUACUGGGCCUAUAGCACAGUAUUGGGGGGAAUUUCCAGGUAGUGGUCACCGGGUUUAAUGAGAAAAGUGCCAUAAGUAAUUAGAGAUAUCUGGCCUGAACAUAUUUUUAGUUGUAGAUAGACAAGUAUUUUGUUUUAUUUAUUUUGUUUAUUUUUUUGUGGUGCCAGGGAUUGAACCCAGGGCCUUAUGCAUGUGAGGCAAGCACUCUACUAACUGAGCUCUAUCCCCAGCUCCUGUUUUCUUUGUUUUUAUGUGGUGGUGAAGAUGAAACCCAGGGCCUCACACAUGCGAGACAAGUGCUCUAUCACUGAGCUAUGACCCCAGGCCUUAUUUUUUAUUUUGAGACAGUUCUCACUAGGUUGCUUAUGGCCUCCCUAAAUUGCUGAGGCUGACUUUGAACCUGUGAUCCUCCUCCCUCAACCUCCCAAACCACUGGGAUUACAGGUGUGUGCCCCAAGCCUGACAUAACCCCAUUUUUUUAAGUGAGCAAAAGAUUUUAAUAGACAUGUCUCCAAAGAAGAUAGACAAGUGGCGAAAAUUACAUGAAAAGAUGUUCAAUGUCAUUAGUUACUAGGGAAAUGCAAAUCAAAACCACACAAUAUACCUUUGUGUACCCACUGGGAUGGCUAUAAUGUAAAAGAUGGACAAUCACAAGUGUUGGCAAGGACAUGGAGAAAUUGGAUCCCUCUUGCAGUGCCAGUGGGCAUGUAUUACACAACAGCUGGGGGAAACCACUUGGCAGUUUCCCACUAAGUUGAGCAGAAUUACCAUAUUACCCAGCAAUUCCACUCCCAGGCAUAUACCCAAAAGAACGGAAAACAGAUGUUCAAACAAAAGCUGGCCCACAAAUAUACACAGGAGCUCUAUUCACAACAGCCCAAAGGUGAAAGAAACACAGAUGUCCAUCCCUGAUGGAAAGAAUUAAAAUGUCACAUACCUACAGUCCUAGCAACUUGGGAGGUUGAGGUUGAGGCCAGCCUCCACAAUUUAACAAGACCCUGUGUCAACAUAGAAAAUAAAAAGGGCUGGGGAUGUAAGUCAGUUGUUUAGCACCCCUGGUUUUAAUCUCUAGUAUAUCUCUCUCUCUCUCUCUCUCACACACACACACACACACACAAAAUAAAAUAAAAUAAAUAAUAAUAAUUAUAAUAAUACCUUAUACACAUACUAUUGAAUGUUAUCCAGUGAUAAAAAAGAAAUGAAGGACUAAGAUAUGUUAAAAUAUGCAUGGGGGGCUGAGGUUGUGGCUCAGUGGUAGAGCACUCGCCUAGCAAGUGUGAGGUGCUGGGUUCGAUCCUCAGCACCACAUAAAAAUAAAUAAUAAAAUAAAGGUAUAUUUAAAAAAAUAAUAAAAUAAAAAAUAAAAUAUGCAUGGACCUAGAAAAUAUUGUGGUACAAGUCACAAAAAGCCAAAUACUGUGUGACUCCAUUUAACGACAUGUGCAGAAUAUACACACUAUAGAGACAGAAAAUGGAUUAAGUUGGGGGCUGGGGAUGUGGCUCAAGCGGUAGCGCGCUCGACUGGCAUGCGUGCGGCCCGGGUUCGAUCCUCAGCACCACAUACCAACAAAGCUGUUGUGUCUGCCGAUAACUAAAAAAAAUAAAUAAAUAUUAAAAAAAAAAAAAGAAAAUGGAUUAAGUUGCUUAGGGACAGGGGACAGGGGAGAAGAGUGUUGAGGGACUACCAAAGGGUAUGAGCUUUCUUUCUUUUUUUUUUUUUUUACAUUUUAUUAGUUUGAUGGACCUUUAUUUAUUUAUGUGUGGAGCUAAGAAUUGAACCCAGGGCCUCUCACAUGCUAGGCAAGCUCUCUACCACUGAGCCCCAGCCCCAGCCCCAGCCCCAGCCCCAGCCCCAGGGGUUUCUUUUAGAAGGGAUGAAAAUGUUCUAUAAUUAGACUGUAGUGAUGAUCUGGGACCCUGUGCUUAUACUAAAAUCAGGAAUGUGCACACUUAUGAUUUAGAUGCAAUGUAAAUUGUAUUUCAAUAAAGCUAUUUUAAACAUCUGAACGUCUCAAGUCUUUCAAAUCCUGCACAAAACAGGAGGUGGUCCCCCUGCCCUAUGCCAUCCUUAUCUUCAUAAAAUUUAAAAAUGAAAUGAAAGCCUGGUGCAGUGGCACACUCCUAUAAACUCAGCGGCUCCAGAGGCUGAGGCAGGAGGAUCGCUUCAAAGCCAGCCUCAGCAAUGGUGAGGCACUGAGCAACUCAGUGAGACCCUGUCUCUGAAUAAAAUACAAAAUGGGGCUGGGGAUGUGGCUUUGUGGUCGAGUGUCUCUGAGUUCAAUCCCUGGUACAAAAGAAGAAGGAGGAGGAGGAGGAGAAGGAGGAGGAGGAGGAGGNNNNNNNNNNNNNNNNNNNNNNNNNNNNNNNNNNNNNNNNNNNNNNNNNNNNNNNNNNNNNNNNNNAGGGGGGAGGGGGAGGGGAGGUUGGAGGGGAGGGGGGAGGGAAAAAAGAAGCAAGGAAAGACUAGGGAGUUGGAGAGAGAAUGCCAUGUCUGGAGUAUUAGGUGGCCUCUCGCUGUGGCAAUGCUGUAUAAGGAACAACCUUGAGACUCAGUCCUCUACAACAGCAAACACUUAUUUCUUGCUCACAGUUCUGGAUCACCUGGGGGCUCCACUGGACCAGGUAGGCUCCACUGGACUUGGCUUGAAGCUGAGUCAAGUUGGGUCUGCUUCAAGUAGAACUUGUUCCAGGACCCAGCCUGAAGAAGUGGCAUCCCCAAGGGACAUGUUCCUCUAGGGGCGGAUAGAACAAGCAACAAGAAUCAGAAACACACACACACACACACAAACUGUAGACCCUUAACAGGGACUUUGCUUUUUCUUGAGCUGACUUGCCAUUGGUCAAGGCAAGUCACGUGGUCAAGUUCUAGGACCAGGGGAGGGGAAAGUAUUCAGUGCCUGGAAGGCACUGACAAGUCUCAAGGUAAUGGGACUGGACAUGUAAUCUAAUUACAGAAAUGGGUAGAAGAGUUGGACAUAAUAAGCCAAUCUGCCCUUAGCCAGGGGCCAAAUAGUUGCCAUUCCUGUCCUAUGAGACAUUUGGGGCACAGGUCAGAAAGACUGAUGUAUUUUGUCUAAUGUCUGCUGCAUUAGGAACUUUUUUAUUUUCUUAAUGGAAAUGAUGUUUUAAAAUCUGAUUAAGGGGCAGGGGUGUAGCUCAGUGGUAGAGCAUUUGCCUACCACAUGUGAGGUCCUGGGUUGGAUCCCUAGCACUACAAAUAAAUAAAUAAAGUCUUAUUAUAAAAGUAAAAUUACCAGCCCAGGUCCAGUUGUGCACAUCUGUAAUCCCAGCUACUCAGGAAGCUAAAGCAGGAGGAAUGCAAGUUCAAGGCCAGCCCAUUCAACUUAAUGAGACCAUAUUUCAGAAUUCUAAAAGAAAAAAAAUUAUUUUUAAAGGGCUGGAGAUGUAGCUCAGUGGUAAAGCAUCUGUGGAUUCAGAUAAAAAUCAUAAAAAGAUAUUUAGAUAUUGAAAUACAAUUUAUGUUGCAUCUAAAUCAUCUAAAUUAUAAAAAGAUAAAUAAAAAUAUCAGUACGAACAUUUUUUUUAAUAUUUUAUUUUUUAGUUGUAGUUGGGCACAAUACCUUUAUUUUAUUUAUUUAUUUUUAUGUGGUGCUGAGGAACCCCAGCCCAAUAUGGAAAAUUUUUAAAUUUAAAAAUUACCAUAAGGGCUGGGGAUGUGGCUCAAGUGGUAGUGUGCUCGCCUGGCAUGCGUGUGGCCUGGGUUCGAUCCUCAGCACCACAUACAAACUAAGAUGUUGUGUCCGCCGAAAACUAAAAAAUAAAUAUAAAAGAAAAAAAAACUUUAAAAAUUACCCUAAUCCUACCAUUCAGCCUUAAUCAAUGUUAAUACUUUGCUGUUCAUUAUUAUGUAAUUUCUGACAUGUAUAAUCACUCUAACACUGUCUUUAACAUAAUCAGGAUCACGACAUACAUACUAUUUUGCAAUCUCUGUUGUCAAUUAUAAUUUCAUCAAUCCCAGGCUGGGGUUGUGGCUCAGUGGUAGAGUAUUUGCCUAGCAUGCAUGAGGCCCUGGGUUCCAUCCUCAGUACCACACACAACAGAAUUUCGUCAAUCCACUGACAGGGUAGGGUGAGCUGGGAAGGCCCACACCUAUAAUCCCAUCAACUCAAAAACCUGAGGCAGAAGGGCUUUUUUCCUGCCCAGCCUCAGCAAUUUAUCAAGGCCCCACACAAUUUAGUAAGAUUGUCUCAAAAUUAAGAAAAAGGGCUGGGGUUGUACUUCAGCAGGUAGUGGGUCCCUGGGUUAAAUUCCCAGUACCAAGAAAAAUAAAUUUUUUCUUCAAUAUCUUUUUAUACACAAACAUAGAUCAUCAUUAUUUUCAAUGUUUGUAUGAAUCUUAUAAUUGCUACAUUUUAAAUCUGUUUAUAAACUUUUUCACCAAUAAUUCUGACAUCCUAAUAGAUUUAUUUCAGUUUUUCAUGAUACUUCCUAUCUGGAUCAAUACAUUAUGCAGAGUUUUGUUUUAGCAUAGUCGUGGUUGUAUAAAUUUCACACUUAAGAUUUUUCAUAGGGGGGGCUGGGGAUGUGGCUCAAGCGGUAGCUCGCUCGCCUGGCAUGUGUGCUGCCCAACACCACAAACAAAAGAUGUUGUGUCCGGCGAAAACUAAAAAAUAAACAUUAAAAAAAAAAAGAUUUUUCAUAGGGCUGGGGAUGUGGCUCAAGCGGUAGUGCGUUCGCCUGGCAUGCGUGUGGCCCGGGCACAUUUAUUUUUCAUAAAUGCUUUUUUGUGUAGUUACAAUCUGUGUAUUUAUUACUUUUUUGCAUUGCUUGAGACAGCAUUAUUUAAUUGGCCAGUUUCUAUUUUGGGAUACUUUGGUUAUUUCUAGUGUUUUUAUUGUUAAUCUCAUUCAUUCCUGUUGGUAAAGACGGCGCCCGGAGGGCUUCUCUUCGGGGAGCUCAGGUCCAGGACGCACUGAAUAGCCCCAGAACUGAACCAUCACCUCCAAUCCCUGAAGUGGCGGGAACUUUGAAUGGCGCACCUCCAAUCCCUGAAGUGGCGGGAACUCUCAGCCAGUGAAGAAGUAACAGCUCACUCGCCCUGCUCCUCCUCAUCCUGUGUUGAGCCCAUAAAUAUCAACACCCUGUUCCUGCUCACUCUACUCUCCCACUCUUACUCUCCCCUUCUCUCCCUCUCCCCCUCCCCCUC